AGGAUCAUUGUGGAAAUGAACGGAAGAAUGACCCGCGAAUCGUCAUUGC
Molecule: ribosomal RNA, 49 nt
Filed under: Bellucia aequiloba
Lineage: Eukaryota; Viridiplantae; Streptophyta; Magnoliopsida; Myrtales; Melastomataceae
Description: partial 18S ribosomal RNA
Source: RNAcentral